Molecule: small RNA, 500 nt
Filed under: Pongo abelii (Sumatran orangutan)
Lineage: Eukaryota; Metazoa; Chordata; Mammalia; Primates; Hominidae
Description: retained intron
Source: RNAcentral
AUCAAAGCCGAGUGGACUCCCUCAUUCCCUGGAUCAAACAGCAUACAAUACUGAUGUCAGAUAAAACUUUUCCCCAAAACCCUGUUGAACUAAAGGUAAAGUCAAGGACUUAAAUUUUUUGGGUAAAAUCUUUCCAGGGAGUAAGUCUCCAAGCUUAUCACUGCUGGCUUCUAGGUGAGGUGGUAUGAAAAAUUGGGUCCUAUAGUUUGUGUCCAUUUAUUCACCAAAUAUUAAUUUUAUAGGCACUUUAUAACCAAUAUAUACACUUCAAAGAAACAGAAAUUCUGGCCAAGGAGAGAGAAAAGGGAAGAAUUGAGGAAUUAUAUAAAUUACUAGAGGCGUGGAUUGAAUUUGGCCGAAUUAAACUGCCUCAAGGUUAUCACCCUAAUGAUGUAGAAGAAGAGUGGGGAAAGCUCAUCAUAGAGAUGCUGGAACGAGAGAAAUCACUUCGGCCGGCUGUGGAGAGGCUGGAAUUGCUGCUACAGAUUGCAAACAAAAUC